AUAGCUGGCGGUUAUAGCAUGGCAACUCUUGACUGUGACCUGACGAUCUACGACUGUGACGGCCUGAACAUCACUGUGGCGAUGUAUGAGGCUGUGCUGCACGGCUGCACGGCCGACGCUGGCACCGCGGCUUCUUCGGCAUUCCUUUGCGGCACCAUGGAGGUGACCGCAGCUCAGCGCACUGCUGUGCUUGGAGGGUGCACUCAGAAAUGCUUGGGUGGCGCUGUCGAGUUGAGCGGCGGUGCGGCACAGGGCGGCGUGGGCGGCGCGGUGGUCGUGACGGGCGGUGCGACGAACAGCACUAACCCGUACGCUCGCGGCGGUCAUGUUGAGGUCCGUGGUGGCACAGCUGCACUUGGCAGCGGUGGCGCAGUUUUGUUGUCGAGCGGCCGCAGCGCGCAGCGCUCAAGUGGUGAGGUGCUGGUGCGUACGGAGACGAGCGGCAACGACGGCGUGAGCGGCGAGAUCAGCGUCGAGACCGGUGCGUCCGCGGUCGGAGACAGCGGCGGGAUCACGCUGGCCACGGGGUCGGCGAUGACCGGCGCUGGCGGGGACGUGAACCUGCUGGUGGGAUCUGGCGACACCGAGAACGGCGGAGCUGUGGUGAUAAAAGCUGGCGAGAGCCACGCCGACUCGAAGAAGGGCGGCGGUGUGUUCAUCACAUCUGGCGCCGGCACGAGCGCCCAGGAAGGCUCUGGCGGCGAGCUCGUCAUGAUGGCGGGCAACGCUGAGGGCAGCUUGGCUGGCGACGGAGGCCGAGUUGAAAUCAGAGGUGGCAAGGCCGUUGGUGGCAGGGGUGGCGACGUGGCGGUGUCUGGUGGCAACAGCUACUCGGGCGACGGCGGCGCGCUGAUCCUGCAGGGCGGCUCGUCCGAAACCGGCACCGGCGGCGACGUGAUCCUCGACGCGGGCGAGAGCGGCACCCACGAGGAGUCCAAGGAGGGCAUGAUUCGCAUUGCUCCCACAAGUGCAUCCUACGUCAGGAUUGGCCGCAGCGGAUCCAAGACUGUGCGCACAGAUGUUUUUGGUGAUCUGACUGUGCACGGCAGCUUCGUGUCGACAAACAGCAUGGUGUUCCAGGACACGUACGCAGAGCGCGUGCACGUGAGCCAAGAGCAGGACCUGGUCAUCCAGGAAGAGACGCGUGUGCCAAAGAUCACGGGUCUGGACUCCGAAGAUGUGUCUGCUACCCCCACGAGCACGCUGACUCUUGACGCGGGCCAGGGCGGCAGUGACCAGUGGAUUGAGAUCGGUCCUUGGGAGGCUGAGUACAUCACCAUCGGUGGCAAGAACAACAAUGCCUCCCACGGUGCCCGCGACCAGUCUGCGCUGCUCCUGAGACAGGGCUACGACGAGGCUGACAAGCGCCUGCAGAUGAACCGCACAGGAGCAAUCCUGAUGCAGGCUGCGGCGUCCAUGCCAAUUCUGAUCCACACCAACCCGACGCGCGGUACCAAUAACACCGGCGGCGACAUCAACAUGCUGGUCGGGUCCGGCGACACCGGGCACGGCGGCAACAUGACGCUGACGUCCGGCGACACCGUGGACGCUCGCCACAGAGGAGGCUUCCUGACACUCACGGCUGGUGGAAACAACAACACCGUGGGUGGCCGGGGCGGAGUGGUGAAGGUGACCGGCGGUUUUGCUGGUGGCACGACCGACUGCGAUCUGGACUACUACGAGUGCGGCGGCCUGAACAUCACUGUGGCGAUGUACGAGGCUGUGCUGCACGGCUGCACGGCCGACGCUGGCACCGCGGCUUCUUCGGCAUUCCUUUGCGGCACCAUGGAGGUGACCGCAGCUCAGCGCACUGCUGUGCUUGGAGGGUGCACCCAGAAAUGCUUGGGUGGCGCUGUCGAGGUGAGCGGCGGUCUGUCGUCGGGCGGCGUUGGCGGCGCGGUGGUCGUGACGGGCGGUGCGACGAGCAGCACCGACCCGUACGCUCGCGGCGGUAACGUGGAGGUCCGUGGUGGCACAGCUGCACUUGGCAGCGGUGGCGCAGUUUUGUUGUCGAGCGGCCGCAGCGCGCAGCGCUCAAGUGGUGAGGUGCUGGUGCGUACGGAGACGAGCGGCAACGACGGCGUGAGCGGCGAGAUCAGCGUCGAGACCGGUGCAUCCGCGGUCGGAGACAGCGGCGGGAUCACGCUGGCCACGGGGUCGGCGAUGACCGGCGCUGGCGGGGACGUGAACCUGCUGGUGGGAUGUGGCGACACCGAGAACGGCGGAGCUGUGGUGAUAAAAGCUGGCGAGAGCCACGCCGACUCGAAGAAGGGCGGCGGUGUGUUCAUCACAUCUGGCGCCGGCACGAGCGCCCAGGAAGGCUCUGGCGGCGAGCUCGUCAUGAUGGCGGGCAACGCUGAGGGCAGCUCGGCUGGCGACGGAGGCCGAGUUGAAAUCAGAGGUGGCAAGGCCGUUGGUGGCAGGGGUGGCGACGUGGCGGUGUCUGGUGGCAACAGCUACUCGGGCGACGGCGGCGCGCUGAUCCUGCAGGGCGGCUCGUCCGAAACCGGCACCGGCGGCGACGUGAUCCUCGACGCGGGCGAGAGCGGCACCCACGAGGAGUCCAAGGAGGGCAUGAUUCGCAUUGCUCCCACAAGUGCAUCCUACGUCAGGAUUGGCCGCAGCGGAUCCAAGACUGUGCGCACAGAUGUUUUUGGUGAUCUGACUGUGCACGGCAGCUUCGUGUCGACAAACAGCAUGGUGUUCCAGGACACGUACGCAGAGCGCGUGCACGUGAGCCAAGAGCAGGACCUGGUCAUCCAGGAAGAGACGCGUGUGCCAAAGAUCACGGGUCUGGACUCCGAAGAUGUGUCUGCUACCCCCACGAGCACGCUGACUCUUGACGCGGGCCAGGGCGGCAGUGACCAGUGGAUUGAGAUCGGUCCUUGGGAGGCUGAGUACAUCACCAUCGGUGGCAAGAACAACAAUGCCUCCCACGGUGCCCGCGACCAGUCUGCGCUGCUCCUGAGACAGGGCUACGAUGAGGCUGACAAGCGCCUGCAGAUGAACCGCACAGGAGCAAUCCUGAUGCAGGCUGCGGCGUCCAUGCCAAUUCUGAUCCACACCAACCCGACGCGCGGUACCAAUAACACCGGCGGCGACAUCAACAUGCUGGUCGGGUCCGGCGACACCGGGCACGGCGGCAACAUGACGCUGACGUCCGGCGACACCGUGGACGCUCGCCACAGAGGAGGCUUCCUGACACUCACGGCUGGUGGAAACAACAACACCGUGGGUGGCCGGGGCGGAGUGGUGAAGGUGACCGGCGGUUUUGCUGGUGGCACGACCGACUGCGAUCUGGACUACUACGAGUGCGGCGGCCUGAACGUCACUGUGGCGAUGUACGAGGCUGUGCUGCACGGCUGCACGACUAAGAACUCCACGCAUUUCCUGUGCAGCUCGCUCGAUGUAUCUUCUGACCAGCGCACUGCUGUGCUUGGAGGUUGCACCCAGAAAUGCUUGGGUGGCGCUGUCGAGGUGAGCGGCGGUCUGUCGUCGGGCGGCGUUGGCGGCGCGGUGGUCGUGACGGGCGGUGCGACGAGCAGCACUGACUCGCAAGGCCGCGGCGGUAAUGUGGAGAUCCGCGGCGGAUCGUCAAGCGCUGGGGAGGGUGGCUCUCUGCUGUUGACCGGCGGAUUUUCGGAUCUCAGUACUGGCGGUGAUGUGAUUGUUGAUGCGGGUUUCAGUGGCACGGCAAAUACUUCAAUGGAGGGUCUAAUUCGCGUCGCACCGACGCGGGCUACGAUCGUCACCAUCGGCAGCACUGAGCACAUCGUCCCUACAGAGUUCUUCGGCGACGUCACGGUAUACGGCAGACUGACUUCAACCCCACCAGCUGGAGGCGAUCUGACGUUGACAGCUGGUGACAACGAUGACACCGUCAAUGGUAAAGGAGGAUCCGCUAAGAUAGCUGGCGGUUAUAGCAUGGCCACUUCUGACUGUGACCUGACGAUCUACGACUGCGGCGGCCUGAACAUCACUGUGGCGAUGUACGAGGCUGUGCUGCACGGCUGCACGGCCGACGCUGGCACCGCGGCUUCUUCGGCAUUCCUUUGCGGCACCAUGGAGGUGACCGCAGCUCAGCGCACUGCUGUGCUUGGAGGGUGCACUCAGAAAUGCUUGGGUGGCGCUGUCGAGUUGAGCGGCGGUGCGGCACAGGGCGGCGUUGGCGGCGCGGUGGUCGUGACGGGCGGUGCGACGAACAGCACUAACCCGUACGCUCGCGGCGGUCAUGUUGAGGUCCGUGGUGGCACAGCUGCACUUGGCAGCGGUGGCGCAGUUUUGUUGUCGAGCGGCCGCAGCGCGCAGCGCUCAAGUGGUGAGGUGCUGGUGCGUACGGAGACGAGCGGCAACGACGGCGUGAGCGGCGAGAUCAGCGUCGAGACCGGUGCAUCCGCGGUCGGAGACAGCGGCGGGAUCACGCUGGCCACGGGGUCGGCGAUGACCGGCGCUGGCGGGGACGUGAACCUGCUGGUGGGAUCUGGCGACACCGAGAACGGCGGAGCUGUGGUGAUAAAAGCUGGCGAGAGCCACGCCGACUCGAAGAAGGGCGGCGGUGUGUUCAUCACAUCUGGCGCCGGCACGAGCGCCCAGGAAGGCUCUGGCGGCGAGCUCGUCAUGAUGGCGGGCAACGCUGAGGGCAGCUUGGCUGGCGACGGAGGCCGAGUUGAAAUCAGAGGUGGCAAGGCCGUUGGUGGCAGGGGUGGCGACGUGGCGGUGUCUGGUGGCAACAGCUACUCGGGCGACGGCGGCGCGCUGAUCCUGCAGGGCGGCUCGUCCGAAACCGGCACCGGCGGCGACGUGAUCCUCGACGCGGGCGAGAGCGGCACCCACGAGGAGUCCAAGGAGGGCAUGAUUCGCAUUGCUCCCACAAGUGCAUCCUACGUCAGGAUUGGCCGCAGCGGAUCCAAGACUGUGCGCACAGAUGUUUUUGGUGAUCUGACUGUGCACGGCAGCUUCGUGUCGACAAACAGCAUGGUGUUCCAGGACACGUACGCAGAGCGCGUGCACGUGAGCCAAGAGCAGGACCUGGUCAUCCAGGAAGAGACGCGUGUGCCAAAGAUCACGGGUCUGGACUCCGAAGAUGCGUCUGCUACCCCCACGAGCACGCUGACUCUUGACGCGGGCCAGGGCGGCAGUGACCAGUGGAUUGAGAUCGGUCCUUGGGAGGCUGAGUACAUCACCAUCGGUGGCAAGAACAACAAUGCCUCCCACGGUGCCCGCGACCAGUCUGCGCUGCUCCUGAGACAGGGCUACGAUGAGGCUGACAAGCGCCUGCAGAUGAACCGCACAGGAGCAAUCCUGAUGCAGGCUGCGGCGUCCAUGCCAAUUCUGAUCCACACCAACCCGACGCGCGGUACCAAUAACACCGGCGGCGACAUCAACAUGCUGGUCGGGUCCGGCGACACCGGGCACGGCGGCAACAUGACGCUGACGUCCGGCGACACCGUGGACGCUCGCCACAGAGGAGGCUUCCUGACACUCACGGCUGGUGGAAACAACAACACCGUGGGUGGCCAGGGCGGAGUGGUGAAGGUGACCGGCGGUUUUGCUGGUGGCACGACCGACUGCGAUCUGGACUACUACGAGUGCGGCGGCCUGAACAUCACCGUGGCGAUGUACGAGGCUGUGCUGCACGGCUGCACGGCCGACGCUGGCACCGCGGCUUCUUCGGCAUUCCUUUGCGGCACCAUGGAGGUGACCGCAGCUCAGCGCACUGCUGUGCUUGGAGGGUGCACC
This 5739-nucleotide long non-coding RNA is filed under the name Micromonas commoda. RNAcentral's name for it is "long non-coding RNA (MCOM_LNC000404)". Lineage: Eukaryota; Viridiplantae; Chlorophyta; Mamiellophyceae; Mamiellales; Mamiellaceae. The record is from RNAcentral.